RNAcentral lists this ribosomal RNA (447 nucleotides) under uncultured bacterium. Its description in RNAcentral is "SSU rRNA". It matches the Rfam family "Bacterial small subunit ribosomal RNA", at positions 26 to 517 of the family's 1533-position model. The record is from RNAcentral.
AGAGCGAACGCUGGCGGCAGGCCUAACACAUGCAAGUCGAGCGCCCCGCAAGGGGAGCGGCAGACGGGAGAGUAACACGUGGGAACGUACCCUUUGGUUCGGAACAACACAGGGAAACUUGUGCUAAUACCGGAUAAGCCCUUACGGGGAAAGAUUUAUUGCCAAAGGAUCGGCCCGCGUCUGAUUAGCUUGUUGGUGAGGUAACGGCUCACCAAGGCUACGAUCAGUAGCUGGUCUGAGAGGAUGAUCAGCCUCACUGGGACUGAGACACGGCCCAGACUCCUACGGGAGGCAGCAGUGGGGAAUAUUGGACAAUGGGCGCAAAGCCUGAUCCAGCCAUGCCGCGUGGAUGAUGAAGGCCCUAGGGUUGUAAAGUCCUUUCGACGGGGAAGAUAAAUGACGGUACCCGUAGAAGAAGCCCCGGCUAAACGUUCGUGCCAGCAGCCG